This 460-nucleotide ribosomal RNA is filed under the name uncultured bacterium. RNAcentral describes it as "partial 16S ribosomal RNA". It matches the Rfam family "Bacterial small subunit ribosomal RNA", at positions 338 to 795 of the family's 1533-position model. The record is from RNAcentral.
CCUACGGGCGGCAGCAGUGAGGAAUAUUGGUCAAUGGACGAGAGUCUGAACCAGCCACGUAGCGUGAAGGAUGACUGCCCUAUGGGUUGUAAACUUCUUUUAUAUGGGAAUAAAAUGUUCCACGUGUGGGAUUUUGUAUGUACCAUAUGAAUAAGGAACGGCUAACUCCGUGCCAGCAGCCGCGGGAAUACGGAGGAUCCGAGCGUUACCCGGAUUUAUUGGGUUUAAAGGGAGCGUAGGUGGAUUGUUAAGUCAGUUGUGAAAGUUUGCGGCUCAACCGUAAAAUUGCAGUUGAAACUGGCAGUCUUGAGUACAGUAGAGGUGGGCGGAAUUCGUGGUGUAGCGGUGAAAUGCUUAGAUAUCACGAAGAACUCCGAUUGCGAAGGCAGUUCACUGGACUGCAACUGACACUGAGGCUCGAAAGUGUGGGUAUCAAACAGGAUUAGAUACCCGAGUAGUC